Molecule: ribosomal RNA, 485 nt
Filed under: uncultured bacterium
Lineage: Bacteria
Description: bacterial SSU rRNA
Rfam family: Bacterial small subunit ribosomal RNA
Source: RNAcentral
GACGAACGCUGGCGGCGUGCCUAACACAUGCAAGUCAAGGAGGAAGGGGUAGCAAUAUCCCGAGUACACUGGCGCACGGGUGAGUAAGGCGUAGGCAACCUGCCUAUUGGACGGGAAUAACUCAGCGAAAGCUGGACUAAUACCCGAUAAUGCAGCGGCAUCGCAUGAUGAUGUUGUUAAAAGCCCGCAAGGGUGCCAAUAGAUGGGCCUGCGUCCCAUUAGGUAGUUGGUGAGGUAACGGCUCACCAAGCCCACGAUGGGUAGCUGGUCUGAGAGGAUGAUCAGCCACACUGGAACUGAGACACGGUCCAGACUCCUACGGGAGGCAGCAGUGAGGAAUAUUGCGCAAUGGCCGAAAGGCUGACGCAGCGACGCCGCGUGAGGGAUGAAGUCCGUUAGGAUGUAAACCUCUUUUGUAGGGGAUGAAUGUUCCCGUUCACCGGGAAUUGACCGUACCCUGCGAAUAAGGAUCGGCCAACUACGUG